UACCUGACAGCUAGCCUUAUCCUCUUAGCAUAUUGGAUGCCAUUUGCUUAUAAUACCUUAAAAAGGUUAAAUAAAACAUUUUUCCCUCUGAGUAUGGGUGAUAGAAAAGAGAUUAAAGAGCUAUAGAGAAAGUACCGUAAGGGAGGGCUGAAAAAACAAUGAAAUAUUAUAAAGUGUAAAAAAGCAGAGCUUUGUUCUCGUACCUUUUGCAUCAUGACUUAGUUAGUAUAUUCAAGCAAAGCGUGUUUUAGUUUGCUGCCCCGAAACCCGUGCUAGCUUGUCCAAGACAGCCUAUAAUAAGGGCGAACCCGUCUCUGUGGCAAUAGGGUGGGAAGAGCUUUGAGUAGGGGUGAGAUGCCUAUCGAGCCUGGUGAUAGCUGGUUGCUUGGGUAAUGAGUAGGAGUUCAGCUCUUAGGGUUCUUUUCUAUAUGAAAAUUAUUAGCUUGGAAAGAAAUCUAAGGAGUUAGUCUAAAGGGGUACAGCCCUUUAGAUAGUAUUACAAAAUUAUUAGAUGGGUGAGGGCCUUGUAAAUUUAAGGGGUAAAUAUAAGUGGGCUUGAGUGCAGCCAUCUUUAUGAAAAGCGUUAUAGCUUAGAUGACCCUUUCCUUUAGAUUUUGGUAAGUUUACCCGCCCCCUCUAAGUAUAACCAAGCCUUUCUAUGUGAACAUAGAAAAGAUAAUGCUAAGAUGAGUAACAAGAAGGAUAUGUCCUUCUCCUUGCACAAGUGUAGAUCGAAGUGGACAAACCAUCGAAGUUUAACGGUCCCUAUUGUGGGGGGGGUGUGACCGGAGAUUAAAAAGCAGGAAAAUGGUCCACAUAGUCCGUUAAUCCAACACAGGUGUGCUGUGGGAAAGAUUUAAAGGAAAAGAAGGAACUCGGCAAACAUGGGCCCCGCCUGUUUACCAAAAACAUCGCCUCUUGUAUAUUUGUAAAUAAGAGGUCUUACCUGCCCUGUGACUUAUGUUUAACGGCCGCGGUACUCUGACCGUGCAAAGGUAGCACAAUCACUUGUCUUUUAAAUAGAGACUGGUAUGAAUGGUUUGACGAGGGCUUGACUGUCUCCUUUUCUCAAUCAGUGAAAUUGAUCUUCCCGUGCAGAAGCGGGGGUGUUAUUAUAAGACGAGAAGACCCUGUGGAGUUUUAAUCAUAUGGUAGUCUUUGCAAGCAGAUUUUUUCUCUAAAAAGAUAAACUAGUGAGGUUCUGUCCUUAUGAUUUUGGUUGGGGUGACUGUGGGGAAUAAAAAACCCCCAUGUGGGAUAGGAGUACAACUUUUUAAGACUAGGGUGAUGGCCCUAAACAUCAGAACGUUUGACCUUUUAGAUCCGGCAAAGCCGAUUAACAAAACAAAUUACCCCAGGGAUAACAGCGCAAUCCCCUCCGAGAGUCCUUAUCGAAAAGGGGGUUUACGACCUCGAUGUUGGAUCAGGACAUCCUAAUGGUGUAGGCGCUAUUAAGGGUUCGUUUGUUCAACGAUUAAAGUCCUACGUGAUCUGAGUUCAUACCGGGGUGACCCAGGUCAGAUUCUAUCUAUAUUUUGACCUUCUUUAGUACGAAAGGAGUGAGAAGGUAGGGCCAAUGUUAAAGACACGCCCUUUCUUUAAUUCUUGAGGACAGCUAAAAGAGGUGAAAAGACGUGUUAAUUGUUCAACGAGACCAGGAGAA
Molecule: ribosomal RNA, 1663 nt
Filed under: Tetrabrachium ocellatum (four-armed frogfish)
Lineage: Eukaryota; Metazoa; Chordata; Actinopteri; Lophiiformes; Tetrabrachiidae
Description: 16S rRNA
Rfam family: Bacterial large subunit ribosomal RNA
Source: RNAcentral